Molecule: ribosomal RNA, 253 nt
Filed under: uncultured bacterium
Lineage: Bacteria
Description: partial 16S ribosomal RNA
Rfam family: Bacterial small subunit ribosomal RNA
Source: RNAcentral
UACGGGGGGCGCAAGCGUUACUCGGAAUCACUGGGCGUAAAGAGCGUGUAGGCGGUAUAGUAAGUCAGAAGUGAAAUCCUAUUGCUUAACGAUAGAACUGCUUUUGAAACUGUUAUACUAGAAUAUGGGAGAGGUAGAUGGAAUUUCUGGUGUAGGGGUAAAAUCCGUAGAGAUCAGAAGGAAUACCGAUUGCGAAGGCGAUCUACUGGAACAUUAUUGACGCUGAGACGCGAAAGCGUGGGGAGCGAACAGG